CAGAAAUUUUGGCUUUUGGUGUCGGCUGUCACAGCAGAUGAUGUAAUAGCGGAUUAAAUAGAAAGGGUGACAUGCUUUGCACAGCUUCGUUAUUUUUUUGAAGCCACCACAAUUAUGGUAUAUUACCUACAGAGUGGUCCGAAUACAUGCUACAUUUUACUCUUUUGGAGCUCUCAGCAAAUGUGCCAUAUCACAAGCGACCAGCGAAAUGUCACAGAAUGCUUGUGCGCAUGCUUUGAAAUGUUUUAGCAUGGUGACACGUGCUAACACAUUUGUCCCCCCCUGCAAUUUCAGUCUGCCAAAAUCAGCAUGGGCGACUCUACCAAGGCCUAGUGUGGUGCAGCUGCAGCAUAUGCUACCCCAAAGGCAAGAGCAGCUCCUAUUCUGUAUUCUGCCGCCGCUUCGCUUUACAGCUAGUUGGAGCACACAACUCUCAUCACAAUACUCCCUCUUAUCCAUCACUGUCCAGUGCUCUUCAACCCCAGCUGGGUCGUUGUGAACUUCUUGCAGCGGGGUCUCUCGCAGUGGACACUCGUCAAGUGAAGAGAUGCAACUGCCAGGAUUGUGUACUUGUUUCAGCGGAGUGUUGUUUCUCACCUAACCAAGCCCCACUAUUUUUUGCCUGUGCAGUACAAUCUGCUCAGUUUCCAACAUUAUCACAAAAAUGUUCCCAUUGUAAGACGUUUCUGUCCAUUCCAUAGCAGUCCCCAUUGCAAACAUGUUUGAAAUCUCCCCAUUGCAGCAAACAUGUUUAAAUGUCCUCUUGUCUUGUAAAAAGAAAAAAAAAAGGAGAUGAAGAAAAAAAAAUUUUUAGGUGCUGUACAGCAACACAUCAAGCAGCCACUUUGUAAUGGGCAAUUACUUGUGCAUUCUAGUCUGGUGGCUUUUAGCACACAUCUCAGUAAACAGCAUGGAGUUUCACUUUUUUUUUUCUUUCAUCUCUGCUUCUGUGGCAAGUUUCGUAGUUUUUUUGGGCUCCCAGCUGAUAAAAAGUGGCCUGCACUCUGAAUAUGCCAAAAGUGUGUGCACCUAAUCCCAUUGAUAGCAUGCCUAUGCUUUAGAAUGAAUGGCAAGUGUUGUGAGUAUAUAGUUACAACGUGGAAAUAUUUAUUUGUACAUAUGCGACAGUUGGUGUGUUGCUGCUGUGUGCAAAGAUAGUAAAAAUACAGUUGUCAAAA
Dermacentor silvarum is the source of this 1178-nucleotide long non-coding RNA. RefSeq lists it as uncharacterized. The record is from RefSeq and is a predicted model, not a curated record. The transcript has 2 exons. NCBI's taxonomy places the organism in Eukaryota, Metazoa, Arthropoda, Arachnida, Ixodida, Ixodidae.